UGUGGAAUGGUUAUGAGGUGCUAGGUUCUAAGAGCACAGAGUGAAAUGGUUCAUGAAACGGUAUGACUUGAAGAUGUACAAGUCAACGGUCAAUCUGGUGGGACUGUUACAACCUAAAAUAUGGGCAGAUUACAGAUUGAUCAUGUCUGUUUUUUCUUGGAGAUGCUGAGGUUAUCUCAUAUAUUCAAGAAUUCUAACAUAAGCGGAUGACGCCCUUCCGCAUUCUGGAGCACCUACCUACCCUGAGGCCGAAUUGAAGUAGAAAGACAGUAACUAGGAUGGAGAGAUUGUAACAGUAACCUGUUCCUUCACCCAAGGAUGUACUUUUCCAGGCAAUUGCCACUCAACCUCACAGGGAUUUGGCUCAUGUGUACUUUGAAUGACUGUAUCACAGAAUUGCAAUAACCCCAUCAGAUAUUUGUGUGCAUAGGAGUUGCAUUCACCAGCAAUGGUAACGGCCGCCUGUGUGAGCAAAUGCCAACCUUGCCAGAGACUUCCAAAGACUGCAGGACAAAGAAUGCAUUUGACAAUUUAUCAAGGAUAUCUGGUCUUCGUUAAUUGAUCCAGAUGGAUUUUUGUCUACUUGCCCUGGAUAUCCUACUUUUAUAUUGUGUGAUUUUACAGUUGCCUUUUAUGCUGCCUUUGGAAGACUGCAUUUGAUGCAGCAAAGUGACUGCACCAGACUUGUCUUGAGUUGAGUCAGCAGAUGAAGCGCCUCUGAUUUAUGCUUCAGGCAUCUAUGAUGUCUCUGAGUGUCUUACAAGGAUAUCAUCAGCACUGACAUUUGCUUCAGGCUUGUCUGUGGACUACAUUUAAAUACUCUUCUGGAUUUUCUGGAUUUAUACCAUGGUCUAUACAUCUAUGAUGCCUCUGGUUGUCUGACAGCAAUAUCAUCAACCCCAUCAGCAGUUGCAAGUGUGUCCAGAGGGAAUGGACACUAAUGCUCUAAGAUUUAUUCUGUGCUUCAUAGCUUCAUGAUGUCUCUGAGCAUCUUACAAGAAUAUCAUCCACCCUGCCAUUGGCAGCAGGCUUUUCCUAUUGGAAUACUGCAUUUUCUUGCUCCUUUUGGAGCUCUCUAUCCAAUUGCCAUGAACUGAUGCAGGUGCCGUAGAUCCUUCAAAUUCAACGAAAAGGUGGUCAACAGGAAUCAAGACAAUGCUGCAUUUCUGGGUCUGCUUUUUAUAAAGGAUCUAGGAUUUCAAACAUACUAUGGACUUUCACAGCAAUGCAGAUGAUGAUGAAUACCAUAAGCAAGGUCGAAGUUCAAAUAAGUUUCAAGUUCGGUCAUAAGUUCAAGCAAGUUCAGAUGAGGAUUGCAGUUCAGAUUCCUUGUGCAAGGCUGAUUUGAAGAAAUUUCAGAGUGAGCAAGAUACUUGGUGCAACUGAGGUUUUGCGACCUUCUGGAGGUUGUUUCGUAGUCAGACAUGCAUGCAAAGAUCCAGAUGGAAAUGGAACCAAAAUGCUCGAGGAGAGUAACUCUAUCAGUACGUUACAGAAUGACAUGGAAGCCCUGACUUGGAUUUGAACCCCUGUCCCCGUGAUUGAGAGCAAUUGAAACCCAAUGAAGCUGAUUGAUCGAGACAACAAUGCUGGCUUUGAUGGUCAAAUAUAUUGUGCUUAAUUUAAGGUAAGAGAGAGAAGGAGAGUUAUUGGAAGGUGAAUA
This is a long non-coding RNA of Lytechinus variegatus (green sea urchin), 1663 nucleotides long. RefSeq lists it as uncharacterized. The transcript is spliced from 3 exons. The record is from RefSeq and is a predicted model, not a curated record. NCBI's taxonomy places the organism in Eukaryota, Metazoa, Echinodermata, Echinoidea, Temnopleuroida, Toxopneustidae.